AUGCUCUCGGGGCGCCCUGCCCCCAAGCCUGCGGCCCGGCCCGCCCCACCUCCCCGCAGCCCCCGGGCACCGCUGCAGACCAGCCGGGCUGGGAGCACCGCGGGGAGGUGCGCGGGGGGCGGGGGCGGGGACGGGCGUCCCCCGGGACGCGGGCGGUCCCAGCCCUGGGCGCGCAGUCCGCAGCGGGGCACCCAGCAGCCCCGAGGGGCUCCCCGGGCGCCCAGCUCCGACGACGGGCGAGGCGGGCGUGCACCAGCUCCGCUGCUCGGCUCGGCUCGGCCCUGCGCUGGGAACUCGGGCGGGUCCCCACCUGCUUGGGCCCCUUCCUCCUUCCUUCCACAGAAAGAUAGAGAGCAAGUUGGAGCCAAGGGAUAGAAGAAAGGCAAUGGACCCCAUUUGGGAGCAGCAAUGCAUGUAAGAUGAACAUUUACCAAGUCUAUGAGGAAUGAAUAAAUGAAUAAAUGAAAGAAUGAAAGGAAGUCA
RNAcentral lists this long non-coding RNA (483 nucleotides) under Vulpes vulpes (red fox). RNAcentral describes it as "lncRNA (ENSVVUG00000022053.1)". The record is from RNAcentral. Lineage: Eukaryota; Metazoa; Chordata; Mammalia; Carnivora; Canidae.